This 253-nucleotide ribosomal RNA is filed under the name uncultured bacterium. Its description in RNAcentral is "partial 16S ribosomal RNA". It matches the Rfam family "Bacterial small subunit ribosomal RNA", at positions 524 to 776 of the family's 1533-position model. The record is from RNAcentral.
UACGGAGGGUGCAAGCAUUAAUCGGAAUUAUUGGGCGUAAAGGGCGCGUAGGCGGAAAUAAAAGUCAGAUGUGAAAUCCCAAGGCUCAACUUUGGGGCUGCAUUUGAAACUUUAUAUCUAGAGGAUUGGCGGAGAAAACGGAAUUCCACGUGUAGCGGUGAAAUGCGUAGAUAUGUGGAAGAACACCUGUGGCGAAAGCGGUUUUCUAGCUUAUACCUGACGCUGAGGCGCGAGAGCAAGGGGAGCAAACAGG